RNAcentral lists this ribosomal RNA (306 nucleotides) under uncultured bacterium. RNAcentral describes it as "bacterial SSU rRNA". It matches the Rfam family "Bacterial small subunit ribosomal RNA", at positions 28 to 334 of the family's 1533-position model. The record is from RNAcentral.
GAUGAACGCUGGCGGCAUGCCUAAUACAUGCAAGUCGAACGAGAGACCUUCGGGUCUCUAGUGGCGAACGGGUGAGUAACACGUAGGGAACCUGCCCGCGCACCGGGAAUACGCUCUGGAAACGGAGAACAAAUCCCGAUGUACAGGAAGGAGGCAUCUUCUUUCUGUGAAACAUCCUUUAGGGGAUGGGGCGCGGAUGGACCUGCGGUGCAUUAGUUGGUUGGCGGGGUAAAGGCCCACCAAGACGAUGAUGCAUAGCCGGCCUGAGAGGGCGGACGGCCACAUUGGGACUGAGACACGGCCCAG